Long non-coding RNA from Equus caballus (horse), 5963 nucleotides. The record is from Ensembl. Lineage: Eukaryota; Metazoa; Chordata; Mammalia; Perissodactyla; Equidae.
AUUAAUUUUCAGUUUAUACUUUCUUAUGUUGUCUGUAAAUUGCUUAGCUUUCUUCCGGCUUAAACUAAUGGUUUCCUCCAUGUGCUCUAUUUAUCAUACAAGCACAGAACAGUAGCUAAUUCCUAGCUCAUGUUCGUUCUCUGUACACUUGCAAUGAUUAGGUGGGAUUGUCUAGCAAGGUGAGAACAGAAGAUCAAGUGGAAAUUCCUGGCUCCUCUAAUGAGGAGAAAAGGAAACCUGUUAAAACUGAAUGGCAUCAUUGAUGGUUUCUAAAAUAUACAGCUGAAAGGGAUUCCUCUUUCUCCAGCUCUUCAAUCUGGGGAGGAGAUUCCAGGAAGAAAAUUAAGAGAGGGAGAGAGGUAGAAUAGAUCAUUUACUGGUACCUCACUAAAGGAAUGCUGAAGUUGGACACUCAUGUUAAUAAGCCAUGCUCCCCAUUAGGAGGCCACGAGGAUGAGCAAGAUACUUAGAAGCUACCUCGAUCUGAACAUGUCUGCCAAGCGUUGGGUGUUGACGAGGCCCUAGGGAAUUGUAACCCAGCCCCUCAUUUUCAUAAUGAAGAAACAGAGGUUAUGCCUGGUCCAUAUUUGCCGGGGGAACUAGUUGCAGAACAUGGAUGAGACCUGGAUGUCCUGACUCCAGUCCAGUGAAAGGAGAUACCAGGGGUAUCAGGAGAGAAAAGCAGAUGUUUUGACCCACUUGAGCAGCUGUAACUCAUCAAGGUGAAAGUAUAGGGCAGCCAGCAGGAAAGACUGGUGCUCUGCUAGUUUGACCAUUCUGACACCCAAACAAAUAUUGCCUGCCGCGGUCAGGAAAGACCCACCUGGUCCACAGGAAACUGUAAAAUACACCUGGGCAUUUCUUUCCUUGGGCCUCCAAGAUGGAUUGAAUGAAGCCACACCAUGAACUGAGCACUGUGUGAUGGUUUACUCAGCAAAUGGCUGCCGGGCAGGUUCUGCCGGUGUAGCCCCUUGGUCCCAUCAGAGUUGGGGGAAUUGCUACUUGACAUGAGGCUCUUAUUAUUGCGGAACAACUCUUCUGAAACUGCUCAAAGUUCAUCUUUUUUCCAGCUUUAUUAAGGUAUGAUUGAUAAAUAAAAAUUGUAUUCAUUUACGUUGUAUAACAUGACUUUUUUUUUUAAGACAUACGGUGUUAUUUGAUAUAUGUGUCCAUUGUGAAAUGAUACCAAAAUCAACUUAAUUAACACAUGCAUCACCUCACAUAGUUACCUUUUUUUUUUUUCCAAGUUCAGUUUUAAAAUCCACGGUCACCUGCUCCCUAUUUCGUGCACCUGAAUCUCUUGCCGGUUCCAACUGCUUCCUCCCUACCCUUUUGCUCAGGCUGCUUCCCCAGCUGGAAGGCACAGGUCCUAUACUUCGGCCAACUGCUACAAACCUCUCAAGAUCCAACUCGGGUACCACUUCCUCCGGGAAGCAUUUCCCGACCCCAUCCUUUGCCCGUCUCCCUUUACCACAGCAUGGCUCGUUCUCUAACACGCGGAGCUGGUCACUGGUCUGUGGACACGCACUGGCUCUUCCACCUCCGCUUCCCUGCAGGUAGUUCCCCGCCGGCUCCCGGCAGGCGCUCAGCUAGGGAAGGGAUGGAAGAAGGAACGGACGAGGUGCCUUCCGCAGAGCCGAGCGCCUGGGCACUUACUCGGGGUCUCAGAAGUCCCUUGCCUUCCGUGGGAGGACCGCCUCUGCUCCGAGCGCUCCCCGCGCCCAGCCCGGCUCUCAGGCUUCAGCGCCCUCCCUGCCCAGGGUCCGGGAGGGAAAUUCCCUGUGGGUGCUUUUGGCAGAGCAGAGUUUUAUCCCCCUUACACUGCGGGAGUGCGAGCCAGAGCUGUCCUCCUCCGGCUUUUCCGCCCUCCCUUAAAGGGUCGCCACCUGCCCAGCCUCUCAACUAGAAACAGGGCCUGAUUCUUUCCCUGAGUCUUCACGCUUGCCAGUCACCAAAUCCUGACGAUGCCACCGCAACACUUUUCAAUUCUGCCUCUGUCACCUGCCAUAGAGGGGACCCCGGACACGGAGAUGAACUGGAGAGACAGCCCCCUGACUGCUCGUCCUCCUUAAAUCUAUCCGCACACCGCAGCAGCAUCUGAACUACUGCCCGAGCGAACGAGCUUCUUACAAACCGGUCGGACCACAUCCCUGCCCUCCUUCACGGCUCCCUGGCCCCCGGACCCUGGGACAUUGCAGCCCCCGCCGUCCCCCAGCGCUGCGCGGGCCUUCCCCGCGGCCCCACGUCCUCCCGGGCGCCCUGUGCGUGUGCUCCCCUGACCUUCUCACCGCUUUCGCGAGUCUGGGCCUCUGCGUUUGGGGUCGUCCCUAUUUCUCCCUUCCUCGCGCCCCUCGAACUCCUCCCCAGCUCGCACACCGCUGCCCCGCGGAGCUCUCCCCAGCGCCCCCGCAGACCCAGCCGCCCUAUCCUGCUGCCGCGCUCCGCGCCUCCAUCACCGCUCCAUCCCCACUGUUCCGCGGGAAGCCCUCGGGGCGGGGCCGCGCCUCAGACCCCUCCGUGUCCCGACGGCCGUACAGCGGUCGGCAAGAGGAACGCCUCUGCCAGGCAUGUAGAGGGCAGCGGGGCAGGACUGCUGCAGAGGUGAAGGGAGCACGAGGGACAGACAGGAGCGCAGAGAGAGGGGCAAGCACCGCGUCCUGGCUGAGAGGAUAACGCAAACGCUGAAUACCUACAUUACACCAGCCGAGGGUCAGCCCCAUGUCCCGCUGAUUUUCGCAUGCAACAACCCUGUGUCAAGCUGAUCUCGUGGUGUUCGCUGAGAGGGGUGAGGAGAGGGUCGGAUGACGCCAGCAGCUGGAAGGGAGGGGGAGGAGGGGCACACAGUUACUGCCCUCCUGGUCCUGCUCUGCUGGGCAGCUAUCACCAAGCAGGAGCCCUGUCCCACUCUGGCAGGACACAUGAGUGUCCCCUUCCUCUCCAACCCCUUGUAGGAGGCAUCAUGGUAUAAUGGGAGAAGCAGGGGCCUCAGAGCCAUAGAGACCUGGGUUCAAAACCCAGCUCAGCUGUUGCUAGCUGUGUGAUUGCAUGCAAGUUACUUAACCCCUCUGAUCUUCAGACUACUCUCCUGAAAAAUAGGAAUUUUAAAAAACCAAAACUUACUCCACAGGAUUAUUCAUUCCUAGAACAAAUUUUUUUUGAGUCCUCAUUUGUAUUAUUUCUGAUCUAGUCAAUGGGAAUAUAGUAGCUUCAUAUAUAAUAAGUACUUAAAUAUUAGCUUCUUUCUUUUCUGCUAUUCAUUCCCUAAUCGAAAGCACAGAAUCCUUAGAGAAAUCCCCUCCUUUUUUCCUCUUCUCUAGUGCACAUUGUUUUGUCCUCCAAGUAAAGAUCACCUAAUAACAAGAGUAACACCUAACACCAGGUACUUACUACCUGCUAGGCACUAUUUGCAGUACUUACAUACUUUACUAAUUUAAUGCUCACAACAACACAAAGAGAUUGAUUUUACAAAUAAGGAAAAGGAAGCACAGAGAAGCUAAGGGAUUUGUCAUGGUCACACAGCCAGUAAAUUAUGGAGCUGGGAUUUGCACCAGGGCUCCUGGGUUCGAGUCCACAGCCUGAGCCAAUACGUUAGAGAUCAUAUAGUUCAGGCCCUCUGCGUGAUAGCGUGUCUUCACAGCUGUCUCUCUUCCCCCAUCCCUCCUUGUCUUUUCUCUUCUCCUCUCUUCUGUUCUUUUCCUCUCAGCUGAAGAAACUGAAGGCUACUUUGGACAGGGUUAGGUGACAGGCUCAAAGUUACACAACUCCUGUGGCCUUUAUCCUCCAUUCCCGGGCCCUUCCUCUGACACUGUGCAACAGUAGACAAUCAGUGUGAAGGCAAACAGCUGAAAUUAAUUACAAUUUUGAGUAAAUAAUUUAUAUAACUUUAUACUCCCCGUUGUGACAACCAUUUGAAGGUAUCAGAUGUAAUGGUAAAAAGAUUCCCAUUAGAUACCAUUAUGCUUCUUUUAGUUUAAUUAAUCCCAAUCUGAAAUGCACUCUUUGUUUUUGCUAGCCUUGUUUGAAUUUCUGCCCCCACAAAUAUUUGUGCUGUUGUUUUAGUUUCAAUUAGCUUCUGGUGUUUUCCUUGGACUGGUUUUUGUGAUGGAAUGGGGGUGGAGUGUUUACAGUCUGACCUGUCAUCUGUGAAGCUUUGCCUCCCCAAACCACCACAGCCCCAGCUCAGAGACGACAACGAAGUACAGUCAAAACAAGCCCAGGGCGCUGGGGAGCCCGGGAGCACUGGCCCCGCUGCAGACUCACUCUGAAGCCCAAGCCACCCGGAGGCAGUCGUCACACGGAGGAGCAUUGCACACAAGGCCUCCACGGAAUUUCCAGAACUUUGCCCUUGAACUGACAUGAGGUCACCAGAAUCUAGAACCUAAUUCCAGGAAGAAUACUUUCUGGUAUCAAGGAGGUACUCAACCCAGAAGAGAUAAGAAAGUCAAUAGGUGCCAUUGACAAAUUGGGGCAUAAGUUUACAGAGGGUGGUGUAGGUGAUAAACGAGACACUGGAGGCAGAACACUAUUUGCAGACAGAAGAAUUUCCCAGCUCACCUGUAUGAGUCAAUGAACUCCUCUGAGUUUUGAUUUCCUCAUCUGUAGAAAAAGGAGAUACUAAUACUUGGCUUGCUGACCACCCAGGGAUCAAAUGAGGAAAUUAGGCACAUGAGAUCAAUCUGAAAACUGCAAAGUACUCUAGAAAUACGAUGAAUUAUAUUACUGCUAUUCCAUAACUCGUAUAUAAAGAAAGUGGAGUUUCACUGGAAUAACAUAUAUAACAGUGAUUUCCACUGAAAUGCACCAGAAAGAAUGAUGCAACUCAUUGUGAGACUUUUAUUGCAUUUUUAAACCUGGGAGAGACAGCUUUGCACACAUAACAAAACACAGCAAGAAAGCGUCAGACAGGGACUGUGCGCCUGCACCAGCCUGAGUGUUCCAGACACACUGGGAAGGAUGAGGCAGGUGAGACGUGCAGCCUGGAAGAGUCAACUCCUCUGUGUGCACAAGGGGGCAGGCACAGCCACUGGGCUGCCGCCCCAGGGUAAGGGGUACUCAAGCCCCAGGCAGAUGUUAGAGACUGCUGUGGACUAAAUUGCGUCCCCCAAAAGCAUGUGUUGAGGCCGUAACCCCCAAUGUGACAAUGUUUAGAAAUAGGGCUUUUAGGAGGUAAAGUGAAAUGAGGGCGUAGGGACAGGGCCCUGAUCCAAUGGGAUUGGUGGCAUUAUACAAAGAAGAAGAGCUCGUCCUGGCCUUCUCCCUCUCUCCCCUCUCUACCUCCCCCUCAGAGGGAAGGCCACGUGAGGACAAAGUAGCCAUCUGCAAGCCAGGAAGAUGGCUCCCACCAUAAGCCAAUCCUGCUGGAACCCAGAUCUUGGACUUUCCAGCCUUCAGAACUGUGAGAAAAUUAAUUUCCGUUGUUUAUGCCACCAGUCUGUGGUAUUUUGUUAUGACAGCCAAGAAGACUGAGACAUGGACAACGUACUCAUUUUUGUUUUACAGCUCAGUUUCAUUCCCACAGUGCAGAGGCUAAAAGCUCACGUGUUGGAUUUUCACCACCAGAGAUCAUAUCCUGCCUCUCACAUUUCUUGGCUAUGGAAAUCUGAGAAACUUAAAAAAUCUCCAACUCCCAGUUUUCUCAUCUAUAAAAUGGGAAUAAUAAUAGUAAUAACAGCAUCUACCUUGGGCUUGCUGUAAAGAAAUGCAGCAGCCAGCAUAGUGCUGGCACUUAGUAAGUGCCCAGUUAAUGUUAACUGUCACCAUCAAUCCUAGAAAAAGUCCGGUAUUAAGCACAAAAUACUCUGCAACCAAGUUAAAGCUAGAUCUCCCAUUGCUGAGUCAACCCCGCACUCUCCACCCGCCAAUUAGCUGUCUAUUGAUCUGUAAAGCCAGUUGACUGAGUAUUUAUCAGACAGAGUGAGGGGAGGAAAAGGUAUGAGAAGAGAAUGACAAUACAAUUCAUUUAA